This 406-nucleotide ribosomal RNA is filed under the name uncultured bacterium. Its description in RNAcentral is "partial 16S ribosomal RNA". It matches the Rfam family "Bacterial small subunit ribosomal RNA", at positions 30 to 526 of the family's 1533-position model. The record is from RNAcentral.
AUUGAACGCUGGCGGCAGGCCUAACACAUGCAAGUCGAACGAGUGGCGGACGGGUGAGUAAUGUCUGGGAAACUGCCUGAUGGAGGGGGAUAACUACUGGAAAGGGUAGCUAAUACCGCAUACCAUCGGAGGGGCCCAGAUGGGAUUAGCGAGUAGGGGGGGUAAGGGCUCACCUAGGCGACGAUCCCUAGCUGGUCUGAGAGGAUGACCAGACACACUGGAACUGAGACCCGGUCCAGACUCCUACGGGCGGCAGCAGUGGGGAAUAUUGCACAAUGGGCGCAAUCCUGAUGCAGCCAUGCCGCGUGUAUGACGAAGGCCUUCGGUUUGUAAAGUACUUUCAGCGGGGAGGCGUUACCCGCAGAAGCAGCCCCGGCUAACUCCGUGCCAGCAGCCGCGGUAAUUC